GGGGAUGCCAGGAUUUGAUUGGAAGUGUCAGGCUAUUUAAGCAAGCUGCGUUGGCGGAUCGCAUGAAACCGUCAAAAAAUAAAUGCAGAAGAUAAUUCAAUUGCAUAUGCUGGUGUAGGAGCUUACGCCCCUGCAAUGGCAUUAGUCUAAGUUUUAAACUAAGACAGGUUCACUUAUAUUUACCCGGAAAUGUAAGUUGAAUCUAAUAGAACCGGGUUGCGGUAGAUAUUAAGCAGUCGUUAUGUUUACCAAGCACAAAAGUGUAAAGCCGAAAGGUUAGACUAACAAAAGGACAAACGCGGUAUGCCAAAACCGUACCUUUUUGAAAGAAUUUGGCGAAGCUUGUAAUAACUUGGGUAGUUCGAUCUUUCAAGACGGGGGUUCGAUUCCCCCCAUCUCCACCA
This 404-nucleotide transfer-messenger RNA is filed under the name Patescibacteria group. RNAcentral's name for it is "JACKGU01 sp020631855 Standard tmRNA". It matches the Rfam family "transfer-messenger RNA". Rfam says of the family: Bacterial tmRNA, also known as 10Sa RNA or SsrA, is named for its dual tRNA and mRNA-like properties. Its role is to liberate the mRNA from a stalled ribosome. To accomplish this part of the tmRNA is used as a reading frame that ends in a translation stop signal. The record is from RNAcentral. RNAcentral also lists the same sequence under 3 other names.